GCACUUUUGUCCAACAUGAAACACUUUGUUCUUGUGGUUUUGUUUUUGGUUGCAGUCUCCAAUAUUUCUGCAUUCCCAAGAUGGUUACCUCUGCCGGGUUCAGGGAGACAUGAUGAUAGGAUGCCUCAUCACCAUGGAGAGCACCCUAAGUUCCCAGGAAGAGACCCACACUGCAAGGGAAAGACAACAGCUGCACCACCUUCAACCACCACUGUCACUACUAGAACAAUCCCUGUUAAAACAAGUACGACUGUACAAUCUACAACCUCCAGCACAACUGUGUCGUCUGCGUCUACUACUGUGUCCAGCACUGCUGGGACGACUGCACCUAACAGAGGGGAUAUUAUGAUAGUCUGACCUAACAUAGAAAAAUAAAGCUGUCUCUGCCCUUUCCUUUAUGGAAGUUAAUCCAUUUGUUUUACUGCAAUGUUCUACAGUACAAUUCUAUGCAGAAUAAUUAAAACAACAAAUACAAACGUUUUGAAAAACAUUCAAUAUUUUAGGUAAGAUCAGAUCAAAAGAGCUUUUUAGUCCCUGCAUCUUCAAAAUAAUUGUAAAUUUUAAAAUUAAUGUUUGCAAAAAGAAAAAUUGUUGGAGACUUCUCUCUCUUUUAUGUCUUUUGUUUUAUUAACACAUCUGAAAAAUCUCAACAGCUAACUGCAAAACAAAGAACAAUAUCCUUCAUUUAUCUAUUAUACCCUAGAUGCCAGCUAUCUUAAUUUGUAAGGCAUCACAUCAUAUUAGAAAAAAAAUAAUGAUUUUAUAUUUUAUAUUCCUUUCACUUUUUCUGAAAGGUAUGGGGAUUCAGCAUUGUUAACUAUGCAUUGUUAACAUUGUUAAGUACCUAUGUUUUCCUCUUCUGGUGUUUUAAGUUGUUACAAAACUAAAUUAGGUUAGUAGGUUAAAGUUAUUAGUUUGUAAGUACGUAGUCUUUCAGCCUCAAUGGAUUUUUAGCCAGCUGUUUGUGUCUUUCACACAAUUCUUAUAAAUCUAUGCUAUGCUAUAAAUCUUAAAUAAAAUCUGUUCUGUCAGCAGCAAUGAGUUUGGUUCUUAUCUACUAUAUUGAUUGGAAUACGAUUUAAUAAAUUAAGUAUAGGUGGUUCCAAAUGUGCUUGCAUCCAUCCAUUCAUUGUCAUUAUUCCUAUUUCACAUAAAAUAAAAUAAAAUAAAUGUACUCUGAGAUGUUAAACAAUCUGACAGCUCCUCAUGCUCCCUAUCAUUGCAAAAUCAAUUUUAUUUAUUGGCUGUUAGAAGCUUGUCCACAUUGUUUGUUUAACGUUCUCUUUCCACAUUCAUUAUCUUGUGCCAUUUUGUUGAACAGAAAUUGUGACAGAGUUAAAAGCCCUAAUUAUGAUGUCUGAAUAGCAGUAUUUGUUCAUCUCUAUGUGUAACUUCAUUAUUGAGCAAUUUUGAUGUGGGAGUUAUUGAACAUUACUUUACCCAAUACCCUGUAAAAUUUACUUUUGGUGUAUAUGUUUGUUAAAAAGUGCAAAGGUUUCUCUGAAUAAAAUCAAGCUGGCAGCUUAUGCAAACCCUAUACAGUAGCAGCAAUAACACUUUUGUUUUAUCAUACUAGAAGCAAGAGGGGUGUUCUUUGAUAUUCAAC
Lepisosteus oculatus (spotted gar) is the source of this 1606-nucleotide long non-coding RNA. The record is from Ensembl. Lineage: Eukaryota; Metazoa; Chordata; Actinopteri; Semionotiformes; Lepisosteidae.